CAUCCACGUAUACCCAACCUUCCAUUGAUUCUACAGCAUGUGUACUGCCGUUGUAAGCAUACCUUUAAGAGAGUAGUAUGCUACUAUGACAAAUUAACUCAUAUACAUCAGGUCAAAGUGCAGCCUAUGGGAAGGUGAUGAUGGGUUACAACCCCAAAACAGAAUAUCAACUAAGAAAUAAAAAAUCUUAUGAAAGUGGACUUGGCCGUAAUUAAUUUACAAGUUAAAAAAAUGAAUAAAAUCUAAGACAUGUACACAUCGCCCGUCACUCUAUCCUAAAGGUUAGAUAAGUCGUAACAAAGUAGGUGUAAUGGAAAUUGCACCUGUCGAAGUAUAGCAUAUAUAAUGCUUUUUACUUACACUAAAAAUAAAGUUAAUACUUACUUCGCCAAAUAAACACAAAUCUUACAAAUCUUUAAUAAUAAACAACUAAAUAAAAAUAACCUGAUAAGUACAGAAAUGGAAACAACAAUAUAUAAAAGUAAUUAUUAAUAAAUGUACCUUGUGCAUUAUGGUUUUACAAGAAAAUAAAUUAAAAAUACCUAUCCCGAAUUCUAAAUGAGAUGUCAAACUGCUGUUAAGAACCCACUAAUAACUGUAGAAAAAGUUUUAAAAGACAGUUUGACAGAGGCUACAUACCAUUCGCAUAAGAAUAUAUCUGGUUUUCAACAAACAUUAUAUAUUAAAGCAUAUAAUUAUAUUAUAGUGUAAUAUUAUUGAGGAUAAGCCCAAUAAUAAAAGCAAUACUAACAUAAAUCUAUUAUAAUCAAUAGGCCUAAAAUCAGCCAAUAAAAAUACUUUAUCGUAACAAAUAAAGAUAAAAUAUAUACCCAAACUAUGCUAAAUAAAGUUGAAAUAACGAAUAAACUAAAUAAUUCGCCCAUAUUAUGUAAAAAUAAGUAUUAAGUUAAAAUAUAAUAUUAACCAAAAAUAAACAAAAAUUAAAUAAUAAAUAAUUAAUUAAGGAACUCGGCAAAACAUUAUUUCGACUGUUUAACAAAAACAUUGUCUCAUGAAUAAAAUAUAAGAUA
RNAcentral lists this ribosomal RNA (1031 nucleotides) under Amynthas glabrus. RNAcentral's name for it is "partial 12S ribosomal RNA". The record is from RNAcentral. Lineage: Eukaryota; Metazoa; Annelida; Clitellata; Crassiclitellata; Megascolecidae.